UUAGUGCUGCAGCUAACGCAUUAAGCACUCCGCCUGGGGAGUACGGUCGCAAGACUGAAACUCAAAGGAAUUGACGGGGGCCCGCACAAGCGGUGGAGCAUGUGGUUUAAUUCGAAGCAACGCGAAGAACCUUACCAGGUCUUGACAUCCUCUGACAACCCUAGAGAUAGGGCUUUCCCUUCGGGGACAGAGUGACAGGUGGUGCAUGGUUGUCGUCAGCUCGUGUCGUGAGAUGUUGGGUUAAGUCCCGCAACGAGCGCAACCCUUGAUCUUAGUUGCCAGCAUUCAGUUGGGCACUCUAAGGUGACUGCCGGUGACAAACCGGAGGAAGGUGGGGAUGACGUCAAAUCAUCAUGCCCCUUAUGACCUGGGCUACACACGUGCUACAAUGGACAGAACAAAGGGCUGCAAGACCGCAAGGUUUAGCCAAUCCCAUAAAUCUGUUCUCAGUUCGGAUCGCAGUCUGCAACUCGACUGCGUGAAGCUGGAAUCGCUAGUAAUCGCGGAUCAGCAUGCCGCGGUGAAUACGUUGCCCGGGCCUUGUACACACCGCCCGUCACACCACGAGAGUUUGCAACACCCGAAGUC
This 588-nucleotide ribosomal RNA is filed under the name bacterium w2cb3. Its description in RNAcentral is "bacterial SSU rRNA". It matches the Rfam family "Bacterial small subunit ribosomal RNA", at positions 840 to 1428 of the family's 1533-position model. The record is from RNAcentral.